CUCUGUGUAGCUCUGGUUGUCCUGGAACUCACUCUGUAGACCAGGCUGGCCUAGAACUCACAGAGAUCUGCCUGCCUCUGCCUCCCAAUCGCUGGGAUCAAAGGUGUGUGCCACCACUGACCAGCUUCAUUUUUUUUUUAAUUCUUUUGAUACAAAGUCUCAAUAAUCCAGUUUAUUUCCAAACUCUCUCCAUAGUGGGGAAUGACCUUGAAUUUUAUUAUUAUUAUUAUUAUUAUUAUUGUUAUUAUGCUGUUGCUUCUACCUUCCACAUGCCAGGAUUCCACAUGAUGAGGAUGAAGUCUAGAACCUCAUCAUGUUGGACAGGCACUCUCCUGACUGGGCUACAUCCCCAACCCCAGGGUGUACUUUUGUAUCAUUAAAAAAAAAAACAACCCUGCAAACCUUGCAAAAACUAACUUAAGCAAACACUCCAUUUUCUCUUGACUCCAGAGUCAAAUGAUUUACUUAAGAAAUCAAUGCUGUGAAAGAAAAAUAACCUUUUUCUGAGCAAUGUCAGUUGGAAACCAUUCAGAGGUGCCAUUUCCCUGGCGCCACAGAGAGGCUGCGUUGUUGUGGUGCACCGUGGCCUAAGUCAACUGGAAAACUCCAAUCAGGAGAACACACUGCAAACAUUUUUAAAGGUUUAUGACUUUAAAUGGCUUCAGCAGAAUUUAUGUUCCCCUUUCCUGGAAAUAUUAAAAAAAAAGAAAUCGGUUCUGUAAA
RNAcentral lists this long non-coding RNA (723 nucleotides) under Rattus norvegicus (Norway rat). RNAcentral describes it as "long non-coding RNA NONRATT025894". The record is from RNAcentral. Lineage: Eukaryota; Metazoa; Chordata; Mammalia; Rodentia; Muridae.